This 864-nucleotide ribosomal RNA is filed under the name uncultured bacterium. Its description in RNAcentral is "bacterial SSU rRNA". It matches the Rfam family "Bacterial small subunit ribosomal RNA", at positions 58 to 925 of the family's 1533-position model. The record is from RNAcentral.
UGAGUCGAGUGCGCGUUUCUGUAGCAAUACAGGAAUGGCGCACGGCGCACGGGUGCGUAACACGUGGGUAAUCUGCCCUCUGAUGGGGAAUAACCCGCCGAAAGGCGGGCUAAUUCCGCAUAACAUUCCUUGGACUCCGGUUCGAGGACUCAAAGGCGUAAGUCGUCGGAGGUGGAGCCCGCGCCCGAUUAGCUAGUUGGUGAGGUAACGGCUCACCAAGGCGAUGAUCGGUAGCUGGUCUGAGAGGAUGGCCAGCCACACUGGAACUGAGACACGGUCCAGACUCCUACGGGAGGCAGCAGUGGGGAAUCUUGCACAAUGGGCGAAAGCCUGAUGCAGCGACGCCGCGUGGGGGAUGAAGCUUCUCGGAGUGUAAACCCCUUUCGACCCGGACGAAUGCCCCGCAAGGGGAGUGACGGUACGGGUAUAAGAAGCCCCGGCUAACUACGUGCCAGCAGCCGCGGUAAGACGUAGGGGGCCAGCGUUGUUCGGAAUUACUGGGUGUAAAGGGUUCGUAGGCGGUGUAGCAAGUUGGGAGUGAAAUCUCUGGGCUCAACUCAGAGGCUGCUUCCAAAACUGCUGUGCUGGAGUGUGGGAGAGGCGCGUGGAAUUGCAGGUGUAGCGGUGAAAUGCGUAGAUAUCUGCAGGAACACCCGUGGCGAAAGCGGCGCGCUGGACCACUACUGACGCUGAGGAACGAAAGCUAGGGAGCAAACAGGAUUAGAUACCCUGGUAGUCCUAGCCCUAAACGAUCAGGACUUGGGGUGCCACCCGUUCGUGUGUCGUCCCGGAGCUAACGCGUUAAGUCCUGCACCUGGGGAGUAUCGCAAGACUGAAACUCAAAGGAAUUGACGGGGGCCCGCA